GGAGGGCGCGUACCACUUUGUGAUUCAUGACUGGGGUGAUGUCGUAACAAGGUAACCGUAGGGGAACCUGCGGUUGGAUCACCUCCUUACCUUAUAGAA
Molecule: ribosomal RNA, 99 nt
Filed under: Klebsiella pneumoniae
Lineage: Bacteria; Pseudomonadati; Pseudomonadota; Gammaproteobacteria; Enterobacterales; Enterobacteriaceae
Description: partial 16S ribosomal RNA
Rfam family: Bacterial small subunit ribosomal RNA (bases 1-89)
Source: RNAcentral